Molecule: ribosomal RNA, 398 nt
Filed under: uncultured bacterium
Lineage: Bacteria
Description: partial 16S ribosomal RNA
Rfam family: Bacterial small subunit ribosomal RNA
Source: RNAcentral
AUACGUAGGGUGCGAGCGUUGUCCGGAAUUACUGGGCGUAAAGAGCUCGUAGGUGGUUUGUCGCGUCGUCUGUGAAAUUCCGGGGCUUAACUCCGGGCGUGCAGGCGAUACGGGCAUAACUUGAGUACUGUAGGGGAGACUGGAAUUCCUGGUGUAGCGGUGAAAUGCGCAGAUAUCAGGAGGAACACCGGUGGCGAAGGCGGGUCUCGGGGCAGUAACUGACGCUGAGGAGCGAAAGCAUGGGUAGCGAACAGGAUUAGAUACCCUGGUAGUCCAUGCCGUAAACGGUGGGCGCUAGGUGUAGGGGUCUUCCACGACUUCUGUGCCGUAGCUAACGCAUUAAGCGCCCCGCCUGGGGAGUACGGCCGCAAGGCUAAAACUCAAAUGAAUUGACGGGG